GCGUGAGUGAUGAAGGCCUUCGGGUUGUAAAGCUCUUUUGGCGGGGACGAUGAUGACGGUACCCGCAGAAUAAGCCCCGGCUAACUUCGUGCCAGCAGCCGCGGUAAGACGAAGGGGGCUAGCGUUGCUCGGAAUUACUGGGCGUAAAGGGCGCGUAGGCGGUUUUUCAAGUCGGGCGUGAAAGCCCCGGGCUCAACCCGGGAUGUGCGUUCGAUACUGGAUGACUAGAGUGCAGGAGAGGGUGGUGGAAUUCCUAGUGUAGAGGUGAAAUUCGC
RNAcentral lists this ribosomal RNA (275 nucleotides) under uncultured bacterium. RNAcentral's name for it is "partial 16S ribosomal RNA". It matches the Rfam family "Bacterial small subunit ribosomal RNA", at positions 399 to 691 of the family's 1533-position model. The record is from RNAcentral.